AUCAUAUCGUACGUGCACUUGCAACUGUUUUGAGGUUUUUCUCCAUAUAUAAAUAGCGACUGUAAAUGUAAGUUUAAAUCGUCUUACCUGUAAAACCUGCCGUCAUUGCCGGAAGUCAGUGUUUGGGCGCACACUUUAAUAACUGGGGGUGGGCGGGGGGGUUUCAGUGUAACUGAAAAGUAAAGUUUUACUUUCCUGUGUGGGACAUCAUCUGCUGUCUAGUCGGCAACAGAGGUAAGUCCCUAUUCUGGAGUUUCACAUCUCUGUUUUUUUCUUUAAAAAAACAAGUUGUGUUUUUAUGCAUGGAUAAUGGAUGCAUUGCUAGAACUGAUGCACGGAUGUGCUGUCUAUUUGCUCUCCUGUGGUUGCUGAUGUGUUUGCUGAUAGACCUCAUUGUGAUUAUAGAAUGCCACUUUGUUCGGUCUACACACACAUUCACAUACCGCUGUGUGUGUGUGUGUGUGUGUGUGUGUGUAUGUAUAUAUAUGUACGUACAUAUAUAUAUAUAUAUAUAUAUAUAUAUAUAAAAUUCUCGCCUUCGCCACAAGGUGUCGCACGGAGUGGAGUCGCCGAGGUGCAUAGUGCGAAAAAGUGGACAAAUUUUGCUUUUUUUUUUUUUUUUUAAUUUUCAGUAAUAGAGUCCUAAGCAAGGGCGUAGAUUUGGCAUGGACGGAAGGGACAUGUCCCCACCAAUAUCCAGCGAUUAUUGAAUUGUCCCCACCAAUAAUUUGAUCUCUUCGAGUAAAGAAAAACAAACCCGAUAGAAAGAGGAAAAAAACCGAUCUGUCAACGUCUCAUUCGCCCAGCGGUGCAGAAAGAUUUAAAUUACGUUCUCUACUGGAGUCCUACCUCAUGUGAUAAAUAUGGCCAGUGUGAUUGGCUGUGCCUUUCAGGGAGCUCUGUUUAGUUUUAGCAGCGGCAAGCCUGCGCUGCGAGGAGGAGAGGAGGAUGGCAGCAAAAAGGAAGAACCUGGAUAUAAGAAAGUAUUUUUCAAAGAAACCUGAAGAGUAUAUUUUCAGUUUUGAAAAAUAAAUGGAGAGGAAAAGAUCUGCGGAAGGGGAAGACCAAGAAGGCUGUGGAUUAAGGAAAAGAUGGAAGGCUGAAUAUAAUGAACCUUCUGAUGAUGAAGACGAGAAGGAGGAGGAGGAUCAAAAAACUUGGAGGACAGAAGGAAAACAGCUUUUGCCUGUAAUCUGUGGAACCACAGAGGGCAUCCUUGAUUGUGAGAAGCUGGAACAAGGUAAGGCGUGUAUUGUGUAUGAAGGCAAAUGGUGUAAGCCCUCUAGGUUUGAGAAACUUGCAGGGAAAAGAUUGUGUAAAAAAUGGAAAGCAACUAUUUUCUAUGAUGAUCAACCUCUGGAGUAUUGGAUUAAGAAACGUUACCUAAAAACUAAGGGAUACAGAAAAGGAAGAUCCAAGACUAGAACGGAAAUACAAUCAUCCAACUCUGAAGAAACUGAAGAUGAUAAUGCUGAAGGUAAAGACCAGCUUUCAAACAGUGAGGAAAUGCUAGUGGAAACAGAGCAGAGAGAGAGAGGAAGCUGAAAAUGCUGGGAGUGAAGAAGAUGAAGAGAAACAGGCAGAGGGAGAAAUAGAAGAUAAGACUGUGUCUGCUGUUGCCCCUAAACAUACUGACAAGAGUGUUAUUUAUUAAAUGAUGUUAUUUCCUCUUGACAUGUAACCAUCCUAACAAAAAGUGUCUGUGUAUGAAAAUCACUCUUCU
Oreochromis aureus is the source of this 1723-nucleotide long non-coding RNA. Lineage: Eukaryota; Metazoa; Chordata; Actinopteri; Cichliformes; Cichlidae. The record is from Ensembl.